GACGAACGCUGGCGGCGUGCUUAACACAUGCAAGUCGAACGCUGAAGCUCAGCUUGCUGGGUGGAUGAGUGGCGAACGGGUGAGUAACACGUGAGUAACCUGCCCUCUUCUUUGGGAUAACGCCCGGAAACGGGUGCUCAUACUGGAUAUUCACUGAUUCUCGCAUGGGGGUUGGUGGAAAGGUUUUUUCUGGUGGGGGAUGGGCUCGCGGCCUAUCAGCUUGUUGGUGGGGUGAUGGCCUACCAAGGCUUUGACGGGUAGCCGGCCUGGGAGGGUGACCGGUCACAUUGGGACGGAGAUACGGCCCAGACUCCUACGGGAGGCAGCAGUGGGGAAGAUUGCACAAUGGGCGAAAGCCUGAUGCAGCGACGCCGCGUGAGGGAGGGAGGCCUUCGGGUUGUAAACCUCUUUCGCUCAUGGUCAAGCCGCAGCUUUGGGUUGUGGUGAGGGUAGUGGGUAAAGAAGCGCCGGCUAACUACGUG
This 482-nucleotide ribosomal RNA is filed under the name uncultured bacterium. RNAcentral describes it as "partial 16S ribosomal RNA". It matches the Rfam family "Bacterial small subunit ribosomal RNA", at positions 28 to 507 of the family's 1533-position model. The record is from RNAcentral.